This 84-nucleotide transfer RNA is filed under the name Marinilabiliaceae bacterium. RNAcentral's name for it is "tRNA-Leu". It matches the Rfam family "tRNA". Rfam says of the family: Transfer RNA (tRNA) molecules are approximately 80 nucleotides in length. Their secondary structure includes four short double-helical elements and three loops (D, anti-codon, and T loops). Lineage: Bacteria; Pseudomonadati; Bacteroidota; Bacteroidia; Marinilabiliales; Marinilabiliaceae. The record is from RNAcentral.
GCCCAGAUGGUGAAAUUGGUAGACACGCAGGCUUGAGGGGCCUGUGCUCGCAAGAGCGUGCAAGUUCGAGUCUUGUUCUGGGCA